This 277-nucleotide ribosomal RNA is filed under the name uncultured bacterium. RNAcentral describes it as "partial 16S ribosomal RNA". It matches the Rfam family "Bacterial small subunit ribosomal RNA", at positions 28 to 314 of the family's 1533-position model. The record is from RNAcentral.
GACGAACGCUUGCGACGUGCCUAAGAAAUGCAAGUCGAACGGGGUAGCAAUACCUAGUGGCGAACGGUCGCGUAACACGUGGGCAACCUGCCCUGAAGCGGGGGACAACGGGGGGAAACUUCCGCUAAUACCGCAUGUGGAUUCGGAGUGGCAUCACUUUGCAUCCAAAGCCGCAAGGCACUUCAGGAUGGGCCCGCGGCCUAUCAGCUAGUUGGUGAGGUAACGGCCCACCAAGGCUUCGACGGGUAGCUGGUCUGAGAGGACGAUCAGCCGGAUU